CCCCCUCAUAGUUUUCACUGCUUUGUCUUGGAUUCACCCAGCAUCAUCCGCACGCAUAUUCCACUUUCCUCAAACAUGUCAUAGUUUAAGCAGGUUUACUAAAGAUCUGAGAGGUCACAGAAGCAGCCACAUCACACACAAAUUACUGAUGCCCUAGUUUCAUCUCCCUCUUCCUCAUUUAACACAGGAGCAGUGUAAAAACCUGCAUCUCCUGGGGAUGGACAAGCCAACCCAGCCAGGGAAGUGAAGGGGCCUCUGCAGCCAUCUUAUUGUUUUUCUCUCCACUAAUGAAAGAAAAAUAACACAGGAAUCAUCACACGUCUUUGUCCACCUCUGCAAUAGUCCCAGCAAAAUUUCACAGAAUCCCAUUAGAGGCUCCACUAGAGGACACUUUCUUCAGCCCCAGGUUAGUCUCCAGCCU
Fukomys damarensis (Damara mole-rat) is the source of this 421-nucleotide long non-coding RNA. Lineage: Eukaryota; Metazoa; Chordata; Mammalia; Rodentia; Bathyergidae. The record is from Ensembl.